This 141-nucleotide ribosomal RNA is filed under the name Triticum aestivum (bread wheat). RNAcentral's name for it is "partial small subunit ribosomal RNA". The record is from RNAcentral. Lineage: Eukaryota; Viridiplantae; Streptophyta; Magnoliopsida; Poales; Poaceae.
AUGAACAAGGUGAAGAGCCAUUGCCAUGGGAGGCAGCACCGGGGAGGAUCCGGAGGGCUGAGCAGGAUGCUGAGGGAGCACAAGGCCAGGCUCUACAUCAUCCGCCGAUGCGUCGUCGCGCUCCUCUGCUACCACGACUAG